Molecule: long non-coding RNA, 640 nt
Organism: Neltuma alba
Lineage: Eukaryota; Viridiplantae; Streptophyta; Magnoliopsida; Fabales; Fabaceae
Exons: 2
Source: RefSeq, a predicted model, not a curated record
CUCGGGGGAACAAGCCGAGUCCCAGUUCGUCAGCCUCUCCUCUCCUCUUUCUCUUCCUUGCACUCACUUACUCAAUCCUAGAAUAUCGUUCUUCAGGUUCGUGAAUCCUUUCCCAUCUGGCCUUCAUAUUUGUAAUUCAGAUCCGCCUUCGGCUUCAGGAGCUGUUAAUUCUUGAGUUUAAUAUAUGGAUGGCAAAGCAGAAAAUAACGGUAUGAAAAAAAUAAUGUCGCCAUGUGAUGUUGAAGCUCUGAAAAAAUGCCUGGAGGAGAACAAGGGGGACUAUGGCAAAUGCCAAACGCAAAUAGAGGCUUUCAGAUCGUCAUGCUCAUUGAAGAAACCAAACCCAUCUCUUGACUCUGCUCCCCCUCUCAAGACAGGUGGUUGAUGCUCAAUUAACACGGCCUUAAACUUGACUUGUAUCUUAUGGGGAUUUUUCAUCCCUUAAUAGGGAACGCAUCUUGGAUUUUCCAUUUUUUGGGAUGAGAAUCAAAACUGAGCCCAAUGUUUUUGUUGCAACAAAAUUGUAAGUCCAAUUAUAAUGCUAUAUCUAUGCUUUUUGGCAACAAAAUUGCCAGUUGGAUAUUACUUUGAUUUUGUUCCCAUGAAAAUAAAGUUAUGACAAAAAUUUUUUGGGGGGAAA